This is a small nucleolar RNA of Coffea eugenioides, 102 nucleotides long. RefSeq annotates it as small nucleolar RNA snoR100. The transcript has a single exon. Lineage: Eukaryota; Viridiplantae; Streptophyta; Magnoliopsida; Gentianales; Rubiaceae. The record is from RefSeq and is a predicted model, not a curated record.
GAAUGAAGGAAGCAUGGUAGUGUGCACAGAGAAUGAAAGGGUCGUCAUGUCUGCUCUCUCUGAUGCUUAAAUGAUUUGGGGGCCUGGAUUAGACCCACAUCU